GCAAAACGCGAAGAACCUUACCUACCCUUGACAUGUCUGGAAUCCCGAAGAGAUUUGGGAGUGCUCGCAAGAGAACCGGAACACAGGUGCUGCAUGGCUGUCGUCAGCUCGUGUCGUGAGAUGUUGGGUUAAGUCCCGCAACGAGCGCAACCCUUGUCAUUAGUUGCUACGAAAGGGCACUCUAAUGAGACUGCCGGUGACAAACCGGAGGAAGGUGGGGAUGACGUCAAGUCCUCAUGGCCCUUAUGGGUAGGGCUUCACACGUCAUACAAUGGUCGGGACAGAGGGCUGCCAACCCGCGAGGGGGAGCCAAUCCCAGAAACCCGAUCGUAGUCCGGAUUGCAGUCUGCAACUCGACUGCAUGAAGUCGGAAUCGCUAGUAAUCGUGGAUCAGAAUGUCACGGUGAAUACGUUCCCGGGUCUUGUACACACCG
Molecule: ribosomal RNA, 434 nt
Filed under: uncultured bacterium
Lineage: Bacteria
Description: bacterial SSU rRNA
Rfam family: Bacterial small subunit ribosomal RNA
Source: RNAcentral